UACGGGGGGUGCGAGCGUUAAUCGGAAUAACUGGGCGUAAAGGGCACGCAGGCGGUCUUUUAAGUGAGGUGUGAAAUCCCCGGGCUUAACCUGGGAAUUGCAUCUGAUACUGGGAGGCUUGAGUACUGUAGAGGGGGGUAGAAUUCCACGUGUAGCGGUGAAAUGCGUAGAGAUGUGGAGGAAUACCGAUGGCGAAGGCAGCCCCUUGGGAAUGUACUGACGCUCAUGUGCGAAAGCGUGGGGAGCAAACAGG
RNAcentral lists this ribosomal RNA (253 nucleotides) under uncultured bacterium. RNAcentral's name for it is "partial 16S ribosomal RNA". It matches the Rfam family "Bacterial small subunit ribosomal RNA", at positions 524 to 776 of the family's 1533-position model. The record is from RNAcentral.